UUGCUAAUCGCCCUCAAGCUGGGGAUUAACAAAUCUGUUAAAAAUAAUCUGCUGGGGAAUGAGAUGAACACUAGGAACGCCACCCUCUCAUCUGUUGGUUAUGCAACCACUCCGCUGUUGCUAGGAAGAUACAGUCUGACACUGUCAACUCCGCUGGGGAUAUAUAGUCUGGAUACUGUCAACUCUACUGGGGAUAGACAGUCUGGAUACUGUC
This 214-nucleotide long non-coding RNA is filed under the name Lathyrus oleraceus (garden pea). Its description in RNAcentral is "Pisum sativum (pea) long non-coding RNA (PSAT_LNC030387)". Lineage: Eukaryota; Viridiplantae; Streptophyta; Magnoliopsida; Fabales; Fabaceae. The record is from RNAcentral.